This 429-nucleotide ribosomal RNA is filed under the name Fusobacteriota bacterium. RNAcentral's name for it is "Fusobacteria bacterium partial 16S ribosomal RNA". It matches the Rfam family "Bacterial small subunit ribosomal RNA", at positions 355 to 776 of the family's 1533-position model. The record is from RNAcentral. Lineage: Bacteria; Fusobacteriati; Fusobacteriota.
UGGGGAAUAUUGCGCAAUGGGCGAAAGCCUGACGCAGCGACGCCGCGUGAGGGAUGAAAGUUUUCGGAUCGUAAACCUCUGUCAGAAGGGAAGAAACCGCACUGUGCUAAUCAGCAGUGCCUUGACGGUACCUUCAAAGGAAGCACCGGCUAACUCCGUGCCAGCAGCCGCGGUAAUACGGAGGGUGCAAGCGUUAAUCGGAAUUACUGGGCGUAAAGCGCACGUAGGCUGCUUUGUAAGUCAGGGGUGAAAUCCCACGGCUCAACCGUGGAACUGCCUUUGAUACUGCUUAGCUUGAAUCCGGGAGAGGGUGGCGGAAUUCCAGGUGUAGGAGUGAAAUCCGUAGAUAUCUGGAGGAACAUCAGUGGCGAAGGCGGCCACCUGGACCGGUAUUGACGCUGAGGUGAGAAAGCGUGGGGAGCAAACAGG